UAAGGGAUAUUGCACAAUGGGCGCAAGCCUGAUGCAGCAACGCCGCGUGCAUGAUGAAGGCCUUCGGGUCGUAAAAUGCUUUUCUGGCUGAAGAGGAAGGACAGUAAGCCAGGAAUAAGUGUCGGCUAACUACGUGCCAGCAGCCGCGGUAAAACGUAGGACGCAAGCGUUAUCCGGAGUUACUGGGCGUAAAGCGCGGGCAGGCGGCUUCGCAAGUCUGGUGUGAAAUCUCUCAGCUCAACUGAGAGCAGCCACUGGAAACUACGGAGCUGGAGUCUGGCAGAGGUAGGCGGAAUUCCGGGUGGAGUGGUGAAAUGCGUAGAGAUCCGGAGGAACACCAGAGGCGAAGGCGGCCUACUGGGCCAGUACUGACGCUGAGCCGCGAAAGCCAGGGGAGCGA
RNAcentral lists this ribosomal RNA (400 nucleotides) under uncultured bacterium. Its description in RNAcentral is "bacterial SSU rRNA". It matches the Rfam family "Bacterial small subunit ribosomal RNA", at positions 355 to 771 of the family's 1533-position model. The record is from RNAcentral.